This 305-nucleotide ribosomal RNA is filed under the name uncultured bacterium. RNAcentral's name for it is "bacterial SSU rRNA". It matches the Rfam family "Bacterial small subunit ribosomal RNA", at positions 333 to 636 of the family's 1533-position model. The record is from RNAcentral.
GGGAGCCUACGGGAGGCAGCAGUGAGGAAUAUUGGUCAAUGGCCGGAAGGCUGAACCAGCCAAGUCGCGUGAGGGAAUAAGGCCCUAUGGGUCGUAAACCUCUUUUGUCAGGGAACAAAGGCGGGGACGUGUCCCCGGAUGAGUGUACCUGAAGAAAAAGCAUCGGCUAACUCCGUGCCAGCAGCCGCGGUAAUACGGAGGAUGCGAACGUUAUCCGGAUUUAUUGGGGUUAAAGGGUGCGCAGGCGGUCUGUUAAGUCAGCGGUCAAAACCCGGGGCUCAACCCCCGCCCGCCGUUGAAACAGG